GAUGAACGCUAGCGGGAGGCCUAACACAUGCAAGCCGAGCGGUAUUGUUUCUUCGGAAAUGAGAGAGCGGCGUACGGGUGCGUAACACGUGUGCAACCUGCCUUUAUCUGGGGGAUAGCCUUUCGAAAGGAAGAUUAAUACUCCAUAAUAUAUUGAACGGCAUCGUUUAAUAUUGAAAGCUCCGGCGGAUAGAGAUGGGCACGCGCAAGAUUAGCUAGUUGGUGAGGUAACGGCUCACCAAGGCGAUGAUCUUUAGGGGGCCUGAGAGGGUGAUCCCCCACACUGGUACUGAGACACGGACCAGACUCCUACGGCAGGCAGCAGUGAGGAAUAUUGGUCAAUGGGUGCAAGCCUGAACCAGCCAUCCCGCGUGAAGGACGACUGCCCUAUGGGUUGUAAACUUCUUUUGUAUAGGGAUAAACCUACCCUCGAGAGGGUAGCUGAAGGUACUAUACGAAUAAGCACCGGCUAACUCCGUG
This 479-nucleotide ribosomal RNA is filed under the name uncultured bacterium. RNAcentral's name for it is "partial 16S ribosomal RNA". It matches the Rfam family "Bacterial small subunit ribosomal RNA", at positions 28 to 507 of the family's 1533-position model. The record is from RNAcentral.